GGGAAGAAGAAAUGCAAGAACUGAACAGAGAUACCAGCUAUAAAUUGGCUUGGAUGACUGGUCUAUCAAUUCUUAUAUGCUUGUCUGUGGCAGGUUUGCAAAUGUGGCACUUGAAGACUUUCUUUGAAAAGAAGAAGCUUAUAUAAAUUAUUCUGAUUUCAAAAUUCACAGUUUCUCUGCUGUACAAUUUUUUUUGGCAUACACAACUUAGUCGAAAAUUGACUCAAAUGUGUAAUAUUUUUAGACUAUUUAUUUG
RNAcentral lists this unclassified non-coding RNA (256 nucleotides) under Hevea brasiliensis (rubber tree). The record is from RNAcentral. Lineage: Eukaryota; Viridiplantae; Streptophyta; Magnoliopsida; Malpighiales; Euphorbiaceae.